AAAAGUAUUAUUACUCUUCGGUAUUUUUUUUAUAGUUAAAGAAGUAUAAAGGAUGAGAGAUAUAUUAAAAGAGUAAUUUUCAGGUUAAAUAAUUUAGUGGUUUCUAAUCAUAUCUCAAAUUAAAUGGUUCAAAUCGAAAAAUACAUCUUUCGUUAAUGCGUAAUUGAUGACAUUCCGCAUUGAGAAUGUGUGCGGGUGUCAUUUGGUGAUUUUUUUGACUUGAUUGCAUCCUUUUUGUCAAAUUUAUUGUUGGUAUGGCUUCUUUGGUCUAGUUGUCCAACUUUUCCAAAGAUAUUGGGCAAGAUUUAGUAUGACUUGACUGAUUUGUUUUCAUUCUUUCUGAGAUAUGGAUAAACCAAUGAAUUAUUUGACGUUGAAGUUGUUCAUUUAUUCUUUGUAUCACUUUAUGUAUUUUUUAAGGAUUUUCUUUCUGACGUGAACAACGAAAAUAUCUGAUUUUUUUGGAUGAAUCAUUGUAAUAAUACGAUGAAAAUGCUAUUUAAGUUCGAGUCAAGAAAUGAUUUGAUUUAUGGGUUAUGAUUGAUAUUUUAACGAUAGCGACCAAUGAAAAUGUUUAUUUACAUAUAGUGUACAUUAGAGGGGAAGUAUAAAUAUUCAGAAAGGCAGUUUUUCUCUUCCAACUCAUUCUUUUUUGAUAAGAAAUUCUUAUUCAUGUAUGUUCUAAUCACUGAGCACUUUAAAAACCAUGAAAAUAAUGAAAUCGCCAUAAAACAUCAAGCCAAGAAAGAAACACAAGUAAAACCAGAAUCUCCUAUUGGUUUUACUUGCCAAAAUGCUGUUAAUAUUGACUGUGACGAACAAAAAUGCUACAGUCAAAUGAACACAUUAAGGAAGUGCAUCAUUUUAUUAUUGUUUGAUGAGAUCUAUAAAUGUAUUACACAAAAUAAAACUACUACGAAUAAAUCCGAUUUCAGCAAGCAUAAAAGUUUGCUUUUAUUCUGUUUCAUAUAAAUUGUGAUUAUUCCUUUGCUGAAUGUCAAUGUCAGUGUCAAUGUCGAGGUCGAUCUCGGUUUAAUUCUAGAUAAACAAAGCAAUCGGUGAAACUGUUGAAACGACAUCGCGUUCGGGCAUUUGACGACGAUUUGCUUCGCGGUUUCGUUCUCGGUAGCUCUUGCACGCGUGGUUUUGUGAUAAAAAAAGCAUUAUUAGUGUGUUUGGUGUAUGAAUACUAUAUUCUCUUUUGCCUUAUCUGAGCAAGUACUACAGUGUGUUUCAUUGAACAUUAUGAACAACUAUGAAGACGCCAAAUAGCUGACCAAGCUGCCGCUUUGGUUUUUCUUCCUAGUAUUCCUGAGAGAUUCGUGGAAACAUCUUCUGUGGAAUUGUGCCAACCACGAUGUCUUUGGGUUUUCUUCCUAGAGUCUUCGAGCAGGGUCUUUUGAUUAUCCGUGCUGUAACUACAACCACCGUGCUACAUUGGGUUAUCCUUCCGGAGUUGCCGAGUAGAUUCCUGAUUCACUUGUCCUGGGGGAGAGGUUCUCAUCAAAUUCGACCAUGACCUGAAUUGUGAGCUUUUUCGAUUAUCCUUACUGUAUUUAUUAUUUAAUUAAAUGUCGCUUUUUC
Long non-coding RNA from Agrilus planipennis (emerald ash borer), 1584 nucleotides. RefSeq lists it as uncharacterized. The transcript is spliced from 4 exons. Lineage: Eukaryota; Metazoa; Arthropoda; Insecta; Coleoptera; Buprestidae. The record is from RefSeq and is a predicted model, not a curated record.